UACGGGGGGGGCAAGCGUUGUUCGGAAUCACUGGGCGUAAAGGGCGCGUAGGCGGCCUGAUAAGUCGGGGGUGAAAGCCUGUGGCUCAACCACAGAAUUGCCUUCGAUACUGUUAGGCUUGAGACCGGAAGAGGUAAGUGGAACUGCGAGUGUAGAGGUGAAAUUCGUAGAUAUUCGCAAGAACACCAGUGGCGAAGGCGGCUUACUGGUCCGGUUCUGACGCUGAGGCGCGAAAGCGUGGGGAGCAAACAGG
This 253-nucleotide ribosomal RNA is filed under the name uncultured bacterium. RNAcentral's name for it is "partial 16S ribosomal RNA". It matches the Rfam family "Bacterial small subunit ribosomal RNA", at positions 524 to 776 of the family's 1533-position model. The record is from RNAcentral.